RNAcentral lists this ribosomal RNA (230 nucleotides) under uncultured bacterium. RNAcentral describes it as "partial 16S ribosomal RNA". It matches the Rfam family "Bacterial small subunit ribosomal RNA", at positions 333 to 560 of the family's 1533-position model. The record is from RNAcentral.
UUAAGCCUACGGGACGCAGCAGUGAGGAAUAUUGGUCAAUGGACGGAAGUCUGAACCAGCCAUGCCGCGUGCAGGAAGACGGCUCUAUGAGUUGUAAACUGCUUUUGUACAAGGGUAAACCUGAAUACGUGUAUUCAGCUGAAAGUACUGUACGAAUAAGGAUCGGCUAACUCCGUGCCAGCAGCCGCGGUAAUACGGAGGGUGCGAGCGUUAAUCGGAAUUACUGGGCG